AUACAGAGGGUGCGAGCGUUAAUCGGAAUUACUGGGCGUAAAGCGCGCGUAGGCGGCUACUUAAGUCAGAUGUGAAAUCCCCGGGCUCAACCUGGGAACUGCAUCUGAUACUGGGUAGCUAGAGUUUAGGAGAGGGAAGUAGAAUUUCAGGUGUAGCGGUGAAAUGCAUAGAGAUCUGAAGGAAUACCAGUGGCGAAGGCGGCUUCCUGGCCUAAAACUGACGCUGAGGUGCGAAAGCGUGGGUAGCAAACGGGAUUAGAUACCCCAGUAGUCC
Molecule: ribosomal RNA, 274 nt
Filed under: uncultured bacterium
Lineage: Bacteria
Description: partial 16S ribosomal RNA
Rfam family: Bacterial small subunit ribosomal RNA
Source: RNAcentral